This 253-nucleotide ribosomal RNA is filed under the name uncultured bacterium. RNAcentral's name for it is "partial 16S ribosomal RNA". It matches the Rfam family "Bacterial small subunit ribosomal RNA", at positions 524 to 776 of the family's 1533-position model. The record is from RNAcentral.
GACAGAGGUGCCAAGCGUUAGGCGGAAUCACUGGGCUUAAAGCGUGUGUAGGCGGAUUUGUAAGUACCUUGUGAAAUCCCACGGCUCAACCGUGGAACUGCUCGGUAUACUGCUUAUCUUGAGCCACUUAGGGGCUACCGGAACAAAUGGUGGAGCGGUGAAAUGCGUAGAUAUCGAGAGGAACACCUGCGGCGAAGGCGGGUUGCUGGGCUGAUACUGACGCUGAGGCGCGAAAGCCAGGGGAGCGAACGGG